GAUGAACGCUGGCGGCGUGCUUAACACAUGCAAGUCGAGCGGGCAAUUUAUCUAGCACUGAUUACUUCAAAUGGAAAUCAUAAGUGUAAUCAUGAAUUUCUACCUUCAAUAAAGAAAAAAGAAAUUCAUGUACGCAAAUAGUGAUAACACAUUUUAGUGAAGUGAUGAGUGCUGGAUAAAUUGCUAGCGGCGGACGGGUGCGUAACACGUGGGUAACCUGCCCCUAUCACUGGGAUAACACACUGAAAAGUGUGCUAAUACCAGAUAAUAUAAGCUUUUGGCAUCAUUAGCUUAUCAAAGAAUUUCGGAUAGGGAUGGGCCCGCGUCUGAUUAGCUAGUUGGUGAGGUAACGGCUCACCAAGGCAACGAUCAGUAGCCGACCUGAGAGGGUGAUCGGCCACAUUGGAACUGAGACACGGUCCAGACUCCUACGGGA
RNAcentral lists this ribosomal RNA (436 nucleotides) under uncultured bacterium. RNAcentral's name for it is "bacterial SSU rRNA". It matches the Rfam family "Bacterial small subunit ribosomal RNA", at positions 28 to 346 of the family's 1533-position model. The record is from RNAcentral.